GUUCAGUUUUGUACAAGAUACCAUUGGCUGAAGGAUGUCGUGACCAGCCCACCCAAUGUUAACAAGCUAGGAUGGCUGAGUCUUCUCAAUAUAUAGUGAUUAAAUUCACAUAUUGAUAUCAGGAUAUAGUAUUGCCUGAAGCUACUCUAUUUCAAAAGCACAUAAGCUGAAAUUUUUUGCAUUUUUGACAAAUUUUAAAAGUCAAUUGAUAGGUGUAUCUCCCUGCGUGGGGACAUGAUGGAUGAUACAUAAAUACAGGAAUCUUGUUUGACACUCAUCACUCAGUAUAGGGAACCCAUGUUCAUCAUUAAGUGUGCACAUGAUUACCUGUAAAACAAUUACCUGUAACAUUAUAUUACAACGAGGUGGUGACUUUAAUAUCAGGACGUUGCUGACUGACAAACAUUUCUGUGAGCUGACUGUGCUGAAUAUUCGUCUAACGUGUGGAAACAUUUAAAACCUUUAAUUUGGAUAUGUUCCGUAUCUAUAAAAUCAACUGGAGCAAAUCAAAGAGACUUUUAAGUUUACAAAUCGUAGUCAGAUAAACUGUUCAGUAUGGAUAUGCUCAGACACCAGUUGUGUAUCAUUGUCAUCACUGUGGUGCUUGUCCUGUUACGAGUGUGUGAGUCCGGGAGUCUGGCCCUGGACUGUAGGCAGGACACUGGAAAGGGGUGUGGCAGAACUCCGGUGACUAAGCCCCAGGGAGAAGAGGACGUAACUGUGAUAACCCCCCCUGAGAACGCAGAGGAACAUCGAGAUAACUGUACAAACGAUGAGUACUUUACCCAAGGAUGCCUCAACGGGGGAAAGUGCUUCGUGGUUGUCAUCGACUCCAUAAGGUUACUUAAUUGCCACUGUCCAUCGGAUUAUAUUGGGAAAAGAUGUGAACUGUUCGACUUUCAGCCUGGUGGUCAAGAGGAGGGGAAGGACAGAAUAGCCACUGCGGGAGUGGCGGUCCUGACUGUAGCUGGGGUCCUGUUUGUCACCGUUCUUAUUUUCAUUGCGAUAUGGAGGAAAAGGUACUUAAGAAAGAAAAGCAGCGAGAAAGCUAAAGACAAGGAAAAACUUCAUGAUCAGGAUCCAAUGAGAUCAAACGGUUCACCAUCAGAAUCUGAAAGUGCAUCAUCAACCCUAAAGAAGGAUGGUUCCAUUAACAACGAGCAGCUUGAGCCGCUACAAAACACAGUAUUUGUAGACAAAGGCAAUGGCGUACCAGUAUAGGGCAUAGGUCAGGAUCACUGUGUGACUAACUUGCACUAACCAAAACAGUAUCCAGGUACAGGGUCAGUGCCAGGAGGGACCUGUUGCUACACUGGUCAUGACUGAACUAGACUGGACAUGCAAUGUUGAUGGAAAAAAGGUCUUGUUUGAAGGUCUUUCGGACAUCUGGAGUGAUGGAUAAUUUUGUUUCUUAGUAAUAUACUCAAAUAUCACCAGACACUGACCAACUAGGAAGAGAUUGGCCAGCUCGCGUAAAAGGAAGUUUGUGGUGCUAGCAUAACCAUUAGUGUUUAUUAUUAUCAUCAGUUACCUGAUCUUAUCCAUGUGGAGGUUACCUAAUGGCAAAACAAUUAGCACUAGUCACUCAUUAGAUCAGACCAAGCAUUAGGCUUUCUUCUGUGGCAGCUUAGACAGACAGACAGAGGUCGUGUGGAGACUUCAGCUGACUUGUACUCGUGUAUCCAUAAGGCUUAGGGCUGAUGUUAGAACUAAUGUCAUGCUUUGGCAAAUGAAAUUUUGAAAAAUACAAAAAAAAAUGUAUUUAACUGUUAUGUAAAUUAAAUUAUCGAAUAGAAUUAAUUUGAUCACCAUUAAAACAAAUCUGAAUUAGCUUUGAUGAAGAAAUUUUACAAGUUAAAAUAAUGUAUGUUGACCACUCUUCUGUUAGUGCUUCCUACACAUACUGUUACAACCCAUUGGAUCAUUAUUAUCUAACUAGUGUGAUGUCAGAUAGGAUGUAGGUCUCUGCUGUCUAGUCAGCAGAAACAAUGGAUCUGUGGAUAUGUGAGAAUGGAUAGAAUGCAAUGAGUGUUUGAUUUCAUUAAGGUGUUGUUCUUUUGAAUGAAAUGGGUCACAGAUGAUGUUUGCAUGAAUGAAAUGUUGUGUACUUCUCUUAUUUUGUUAUUUGUGAUUCUUUAACACAAAGAAAUAUUUGUUUCUCAAUGAUUUUAAAAUCCAGCAAAAUGUAAGUUUAUGGCAUUUACUUACCAUGUAAACUAAACAAAUAAAUAUCAUGUUUUUUUCUAGACAGGAAAGUUCCUCUCUAUGAAAUUGUUGAAUUUGAUCUCUAUUCACAUUAUCCUACAUGAGAUAGGGGAGAUAACCCUAAAUAAAAAUAUAUCAGUAAUUUUGUCAGGUACUGUACUGUAAAAAAAUAUUAUAAAAACAUUAGAUACAUGCAUUUACAAUUUUGUUUACUUGUAAUAUUUAAAGAAAACUAAAUUGGUAUGAAUGGAUAUAAGUUAAUUAAAAAGAAAUUUAGCUUUAAUUAAUAGAGACGGCAUUGCUUAAGUUUUGCCUGGUGAUCUUCAUGAAAUCCAGUCUAUCCUUGCUUCUAAAGGAAAAUAAUACUGCGUAUGAGCCUGCUUCUGCAUGGUUCUUCUUUAAAAUGAGAAAAUAUGUUUUUAUAUGUGAAGACAGAAUCAAUUUAAUUGUGGAUACAACAUGGAGUUUGAUGAUAGGUCAUUUAUUGUGACAAUUGGUGACAAUUUUACAAUGACUCUUAAAGAAUAUAUCCGGGGUUGGCAGGUAUGUUCUGUUAUUGAAAAGUUUUUAAAUAAGGCCAAUGAUUGUUAAAUUUUAAAUAAAAGGUAAGUAUUGAAAAGUUGAUUUAAAAUUGAUAAUGAUGUAAAGGCUACAGUAUAAUGGUUGUAUGUAUGAAGCUAGUUUGUCUGUUAUUAUGGAGUAUAUGUGUGUUGUUGUAUUAUGGAACGUAUGUACAUUUUACUGUGGACCCUCGUGUGCUGGUGUCCUCUACAAGCAAUGUGAUAAUCAUGGUAUCUCAUACUUAUUUGUGCCAUUUGUUUCUUCAGUUCAGCCUUUAUUGAUAUUUGUGUGUAGGUGAUUUCAGUUACUUCUGUGUGUACAUAGUAAACUGGAAAAAGAAGUUUAUAAUUUAAAACGGUUUGCAUUUAUUGAAUACUACACAAAGACUUGUUCAUAAUAAAUAUGAACCAAUGUAAUAGAUUGUGUAUGUCCUUCCCUACCAGUUUGUUGGCUGCCCUCAGCAGUCCUAACUGAGAUGAUCUGGCAGUUCAUGUUUUUUAAUUACAAAGGAAGUCUUAACUUAUACAUAUAAAACUAUACACUGCAAUUUAUUAUGUAUUUUAUAUAUAUAAACUUGGACCAGUAUGUUUUGAAUGGCGUUUAUUAGUUAUAUCUGUAUUGUGACACACUGCUUUACCUGUGAUAAAGGCUAACAAUGACCUACUUUAUUUAAAUAACUAAAAUAAUGUGAUCAGAGGACUUUUUUGCCAGCGUAGAAUUUCUCAAAUAAAGUAUGGUAAAUGAAGUAAAUUAGCACAACAUGCAAUAUGUUUCCUGUAUGUUCUACAACAGGUGAGGCACUUCCUGUCAAUACCACCACAGGUGAGACACUUCCUGUCAAUACCACCACAGGUGAAACACCUCUGUCAAUACCAUCACAGGUAAGACACUUCCUGUCAAUACCACCACAGGUGAGACACUUCCUGUCAGUAUUAUCACAGGUGAGUCACUUCCUGUCAGUAUUACCACAGGUGAGACAAUAUUGAUCUGUACCACUACAGGUUAGGUACUUCCUGUAAAUACCACUACAAGAGAGUCACUUCCUGUCAGUAUUACCACAGAUGAGUCAAUUCCUGUCCGUAUUACCACAGGUGAGACAAUAUUGAUUUGUACCACUACAGAUGAGUCACUUCCUGUCAGUAUUACCACAGGUGAGACAAUAUUGAUCUGUACCACUACAGGUUAGACACUUCUUGUCAGUACCACUACAGGAGAGUCACUUCCUGUCAGUAUUACCACAGAUGAGUCAAUUCCUGUCAGUAUUACCACAGGUGAGACAAUAUUGAUCUAUACCGCUACAGGCGAGUCACUUCCUGUCAGUAUUACCACAGGUGAGACAUUUUUCGCCACCACUACAGAUGAGACAUCUGAUGAGUACACCAAUGGCGAGUUGGUACAUUGUCCAGUCCUCUAACAUACAUAUAUAGUCAUAAUGUAUAAUGCUAAUUUGAUAAAGUAUCACUUCCAUUGUUAAAAUCAUUUAUAGAUAUGAUUUGCAUAUAUAGAAAAUAAACCAAAGUAUAAUUAAUUUCACACGCACAAAACUUAUAUAACAUAAUUGUCACAAAUUUUGCUUUGUUUCACUACUUGUUGCAACCUAAAUUUAUGGGCACAUCAUAAAACAAAUUGGAAAUAAAGGAUACAUUUAGAAAAGAAGACAGAUUUUAUGAAAUAAAUUAACACAGGCAGGCACUUGUGUCUAAUUUGGAAUAAAAAGAAAACAGCUAAAUUUCUUUUUUUAUCCCAGAAAGCCAUCUCAUCAUAUUGACUAUGUCAUUGAACCUAUUGGUAAUAGCAGACUCUAGCCUUUAAUUUUUAACAUAUUUACAACCUCCCUGUGACAUAUCUCGAUUUCAAUGAGGUCAGAAGUAUACAGUAUUUGCUUUGUGCAUCCUAUAUUGUCCCAAGUGUUCAUACAUGUAGGUCUGACCAUCAGAAAGGAUUCUGGGUUGUUUAUCUUAUUUUUUGAAGGGUAAUCAAACUUAGUACAUUGUGUAUGUGUGUCCAUCAUAUACAGGAAAUGGAUUGUACUAAAAGUAAUCAUGCAAUUUAUGGUAUGGUAAUCUCAAACUAUGUUUUUGAAGCAUUUUCCUACAUUAUUUUAUGUAAGAUCAUCACAUUUAGUUUGUAUGAUGAAGGGAAGACAGAGAAUCACAUAACAAAAGUAGGUCACUGGAACCUUUAUUUUGACCUCUGACCUCAAUCAAAGAAAACAGUAAUUGAAGCAUUUAUCUUGCUCUGAUCGACUUCGUAUGUGGGUACAUGUAGAUGGAGUGUCAUGUGCCAAUAGUGAAUACCUAUACCAUGUAUACUUUAAAUGUACCUAUUUUAGUGGUACUCUCAUUUUAGCACUUCAGAUAAACAUAAUACUAAGUUAUGAUUGUGCCAGUCAAAGUUCCUAUGUAUUGUUCUCUAUUUCAACAUUCAUCAAUGCCCUAAUUUGUAAAAUUUAAUAAUGAGCAGAAACAAGUAUGUAACAUUAUAUUGACCUCUGACCACAAUCACAGAAAAACUGGUUGUGGAAAACUUCUGCUGUACAAUAUCAUGUGCAUGCGGGAACAAAUAACUUAGAAUACAACUUGUCACUAAGUGUGAGAUCAAACUUAAGGACAAAGUGAGUUGGUUAUGUUUUAUACAGUAGAUAUGGCCUGAACCUUAUUUUACAAAAGAGAGGUCAAAGGUCUAAAAUCAGGUCAAAUGAUCCUUUGCAAGUCCACGGUAUCUACAAAGUAGAUCAGAAGUCAAAAUACAGGUCAAAUGAUCCUGUGCAAAUCCCGGAUAUCCAAAAAGUAGGUCAGAGAUCAAAAUAUUGGUCAAAUGAUCCUGUGCAAACCCCGGAUAUCCACAAAGUAGGUCAGAGAUCAAAAUACAGGUCAAAUGAUCUUGUGCAAAUCCAGGAUAUCCACAAAGGAGGUCAGAGAUCAAAAUAUAGGUCAAAUGAUCCUGUGCAAAUCCAGGAUAUCCACAAAGUAUGUCAGAGGUCAAAAUACAGGUCAAAUGAUCUUGUGCAAAUCCAGUAUAUCCACAAAGCCAGUACUUCAAGAUGGGUUCUCCCUCAUGUUCAGUAUUUCAAAGCAAUAUGGACAUUUUGUUGUAUUACAUUCAAAACUGAUAGGAGGUAAUCUCACUGUAUUUUGAUGUGCUUUAAUAUCCAAUCCUGAAAUGCUGCUGGUCAAAGGCACAUGUAUAUUUCCUUAUUCAUUCCUAUCAAAACAUGACAAAAUCUAGUAUGUCAUUUUCUUUUGCCAAAAGUUUUCUGAAAGGAAAUAAAAUAACCGUGACAAAUGGAAACUACAUUCAUAAUGCAUAUAUCAAGAUGCAUAUUUGUAGCACAGAUGAACUGCCAUCUGAUUUUACUAUGUUAAGUUUUUAUUUCUAUUAAAAUCCUAGUAUGUGUACCUCUUAUUCAAGUACUUAUACGCAGUGUGAGUUUUAUUUUCAUUCCAUAAAUGCUUGAACCUAUUAAGUUAUAUGUAUAUUCUGAUUAUACAUCAAUAUGUCAUGUCUUUUGAAUUAUACUGAUGUAAGACUAAGUGUUAACACUUACAGAUCUGUGUUGAUGUAUGCAGCUGUAUUUGCUUUAUCCAGUGACUCUUGGUAGAAGUGAUUAACAAAAAGUCAAUUCUUGGUAGUAGUGAUUAACAAAAAGUCAAUUCUUGGUUGUAGUGAUUAAAAAAAGUCAACUCUUGGUUGUAGUGAUUAAAAAAAGUCAACCCUUGGUUGUAGUAAUUAAAAAAAGUCAACCCUUGGUUGUAGACUUAACAAGUUGGCCCUUGAUUGGAGUGAUAAUAAGUCCUCUAUCCAGUGACUCUUAUUUGUACUGACUAUUAAGUCUUGAAUCAAGCACCUGACUCAAUAUCCAUGUGAUUGAUGGUGGGUGAUAGGUCACUCAAUGAUGAUGUGAUUUUAAAAUGUUUAAAUAUCAGCACGAAAUGUGAAUUAUUUAACGGAGUCGCUGCAUAAACCGAAUGUCAGCAAGUUCAUCUGAGUUCGCCAUGACGUCUACACAGGGGCUCGUUAUCUACCUAACUGUAACCUGUAUGGUAGGAGUACACCAAGAGAAUCGUCCUUGUACACACUCAAAUAUUUAUCAAUAAACAGUAUGUUUUGU
Molecule: unclassified non-coding RNA, 6877 nt
Filed under: Mizuhopecten yessoensis (Yesso scallop)
Lineage: Eukaryota; Metazoa; Mollusca; Bivalvia; Pectinida; Pectinidae
Description: uncharacterized LOC110453006, transcript variant X8
Source: RNAcentral